UGGGUGUGGCUCAGUGGUAGAGCACUUGCCUAGCAUGCGCCAGGAUUUGGGUUCCAUCCCCAGCACCACAA
RNAcentral lists this transfer RNA (71 nucleotides) under Heterocephalus glaber (naked mole-rat). It matches the Rfam family "tRNA". From Rfam's summary of the family: Transfer RNA (tRNA) molecules are approximately 80 nucleotides in length. Their secondary structure includes four short double-helical elements and three loops (D, anti-codon, and T loops). Further hydrogen bonds mediate the characteristic L-shaped molecular structure. tRNAs have two regions of fundamental functional importance: the anti-codon, which is responsible for specific mRNA codon recognition, and the 3' end, to which the tRNAs corresponding amino acid is attached (by aminoacyl-tRNA synthetases). tRNAs cope with the degeneracy of the genetic code in two manners: having more than one tRNA (with a specific anti-codon) for a particular amino acid; and 'wobble' base-pairing, i.e. permitting non-standard base-pairing at the 3rd anti-codon position. The record is from Rfam by way of RNAcentral. Lineage: Eukaryota; Metazoa; Chordata; Mammalia; Rodentia; Bathyergidae.